AACAAGUACCGUGAGGGAAAGUUGAAAAGAACUCUGAAUAGAGAGUUAAACAGUACGUGAAACUGCUUAGAGGUUAAGCCCGAUGAACCUGAAUAUCCGCUUAUGGAAAAUUCAUCAUUAAAAUUGUAAUAUUUAAAUAAUAUUAUGAGAAUAGUGUGCAUUUUUUCCAUAUAAGGACAUUGUAAUCUAUUAGCAUAUACCAAAUUUAUCAUAAAAUAUAACUUAUAGUUUAUUCAAAUUAAAUUGCUUGCAUUUUAACACAGAAUAAAUGUUAUUAAUUUGAUAAAGUGCUGAUAGAUAUUUAUAUGAUUACAGUGCGUUAAUUUUUCGGAAUUAUAUAAUGGCAUAAUUAUCAUUGAUUUUUGUGUUUAUUAUAUGCACUUGUAUGAUUAACAAUGCGAAAGAUUCAGGAUACCUUCGGGACCCGUCUUGAAACACGGACCAAGGAGUCUAACAUAUGUGCAAGUUAUUGGGAUAUAAACCUAAUAGCGUAAUUAACUUGACUAAUAAUGGGAUUAGUUUUUUAGCUAUUUAUAGCUAAUUAACACAAUCCCGGGGCGUUCUAUAUAGUUAUGUAUAAUGUAUAUUUAUAUUAUUUAUGCCUCUAACUGGAACGUACCUUGAGCAUAUAUGCUGUGACCCGAAAGAUGGUGAACUAUACUUGAUCAGGUUGAAGUCAGGGGAAACCCUGAUGGAAGACCGAAACAGUUCUGACGUGCAAAUCGAUUGUCAGAAUUGAGUAUAGGGGCGAAAGACCAAUCGAACCAUCUAGUAGCUGGUUCCUUCCGAAGUUUCCCUCAGGAUAGCUGGUGCAUUUUAAUAUUAUAUAAAAUAAUCUUAUCUGGUAAAGCGAAUGAUUAGAGGCCUUAGGGUCGAAACGAUCUUAACCUAUUCUCAAACUUUAAAUGGUAAGAACCUUAACUUUCUUGAUAUGAAGUUCAAGGUUAUGAUAUAAUGUGCCCAGUGGGCCACUUUUGGUAAGCAGAACUGGCGCUGUGGGAUGAACCAAACGUAAUGUUACGGUGCCCAAAUUAACAACUCAUGCAGAUACCAUGAAAGGCGUUGGUUGCUUAAAACAGCAGGACGGUGAUCAUGGAAGUCGAAAUCCGCUAAGGAGUGUGUAACAACUCACCUGCCGAAGCAACUAGCCCUUAAAAUGGAUGGCGCUUAAGUUGUAUACCUAUACAUUACCGCUAAAGUAGAUGAUUUAUAUUACUUGUGAUAUAAAUUUUGAAACUUUAGUGAGUAGGAAGGUACAAUGGUAUGCGUAGAAGUGUUUGGCGUAAGCCUGCAUGGAGCUGCCAUUGGUACAGAUCUUGGUGGUAGUAGCAAAUAAUCGAAUGAGACCUUGGAGGACUGAAGUGGAGAAGGGUUUCGUGUGAACAGUGGUUGAUCACGAGUUAGUCGGUCCUAAGUUCAAGGCGAAAGCCGAAAAUUUUCAAGUAAAACAAAAAUGCCUAACUAUAUAAACAAAGCGAAUUAUAAUACACUUGAAUAAUUUUGAACGAAAGGGAAUACGGUUCCAAUUCCGUAACCUGUUGAGUAUCCGUUUGUUAUUAAAUAUGGGCCUCGUGCUCAUCCUGGCAACAGGAACGACCAUAAAGAAGCCGUCGAGAGAUAUCGGAAGAGUUUUCUUUUCUGUUUUAUAGCCGUACUACCAUGGAAGUCUUUCGCAGAGAGAUAUGGUAGAUGGGCUAGAAGAGCAUGACAUAUACUGUUGUGUCGAUAUUUUCUCCUCGGACCUUGAAAAUUUAUGGUGGGGACACGCAAACUUCUCAACAGGCCGUACCAAUAUCCGCAGCUGGUCUCCAAGGUGAAGAGUCUCUAGUCGAUAGAAUAAUGUAGGUAAGGGAAGUCGGCAAAUUAGAUCCGUAACUUCGGGAUAAGGAUUGGCUCUGAAGAUUGAGAUAGUCGGGCUUGAUUGGGAAACAAUAACAUGGUUUAUGUGCUCGUUCUGGGUAAAUAGAGUUUCUAGCAUUUAUGUUAGUUACUUGUUCCCCGGAUAGUUUAGUUACGUAGCCAAUUGUGGAACUUUCUUGCUAAAAUUUUUAAGAAUACUAUUUGGGUUAAACCAAUUAGUUCUUAUUAAUUAUAACGAUUAUCAAUUAACAAUCAAUUCAGAACUGGCACGGACUUGGGGAAUCCGACUGUCUAAUUAAAACAAAGCAUUGUGAUGGCCCUAGCGGGUGUUGACACAAUGUGAUUUCUGCCCAGUGCUCUGAAUGUCAAAGUGAAGAAAUUCAAGUAAGCGCGGGUCAACGGCGGGAGUAACUAUGACUCUCUUAAGGUAGCCAAAUGCCUCGUCAUCUAAUUAGUGACGCGCAUGAAUGGAUUAACGACGGACGUGUUUUCGUUGCGCUCGUGGACAUAGUGCGAAGAACUUUGUUUUCCGUAUUUGGAAGUAUACGAAUAAAUAAUUUAGUGUUCCGUGGAAGUGGUGCGCAAAUUUUCGCGAAUUAAAAACAAGCGGUUUGGAAGUAAUUGACAAUAAAUUAUUGGAAAUUUUCCACUCCGCACGUGUUGAGCGGCGAGCUUGCGGGUGAGCUUUUCGAACAGCUGAGAGAAGCUUAUUGGUGGUAGUCACCGCUAAGGAUUGUGUCUUGGGACAGCUUAGUGCACUCUACCAAUAGGUGGAGCUAUCACCAUAGCAACUAGCCCGUGUCAGCGAGCAUACGAUUGCUGGACUCGUCAAAAGGAGGAGCCACCAUCGGAGCAACGCCGAUGGAGAGCGACAGCAGUGUGAGUGCCUUGAGCGGAAGCAGUGCCUCAAAGGUGUCAAGACGAGGCAGGCGUAGAGGCCAUCUGGCCUCCAAGAGCUCGGCGCCAACGCAGGCGAAGCUGGUUGCCCUGGCCUCGAAUGGAGUGCCAGAACCCGUUGGUGUGCUGGAGGAGACGUUUUCAUCGCUGGAGGAUGCCCGGGCGGCUACGUCAAGCGCUGCCAACGAUGCUGCCCCCCCCGCUGCUGCCCCCGCUGUUGAUCACACUGUUGCCCCUGAUGUUUCCACUGCUGCUAAAAUCGCUGCCACCACUGCCACCGCUGCCACCGCUGCCGCCCGUGCUGGGCAAGCAGCCAUGAUGGCAGAGCUGUCGGCCACCCAGCGCAUGGUGCGAAACAGUUUCCGCAGCCUAGGAGGCGUAGACACGGAAGAGCUCUCGUGUGCCAUCAGCCGCUAUGAUGAGCUGGUGAUGGCAUUAAUGCUCCGGUGUGGAGAACUGGAGACGCGGCUCGCUAUGCCACCACCGCCGCCGCC
Molecule: ribosomal RNA, 3251 nt
Filed under: Drosophila melanogaster (fruit fly)
Lineage: Eukaryota; Metazoa; Arthropoda; Insecta; Diptera; Drosophilidae
Description: eukaryotic LSU rRNA
Rfam family: Eukaryotic large subunit ribosomal RNA (bases 1-2393)
Source: RNAcentral